Drosophila pseudoobscura is the source of this 1375-nucleotide long non-coding RNA. RefSeq lists it as uncharacterized. NCBI's taxonomy places the organism in Eukaryota, Metazoa, Arthropoda, Insecta, Diptera, Drosophilidae. The record is from RefSeq and is a predicted model, not a curated record. The transcript has 3 exons.
AUCUUGUACGAAUAGUAGAGGUGCGGUGGGCAAAGUUCGCCGGACAUGAUGCCAUGCCAAAUCAGGAUAUCCCGCACAAUGUCACAGGUGGUUCCGGUACCCUUGAAUCCUGCCAUUUGAAUGACUCAAAAAUUCUCUCCAACUGCUCUUUGGAUACACCCACCUAGUGUAGAAGUUCCAGGCUGUGUUCUAUGAAAGGAUCAGUCUGAAAUUUGCUGGACUUCGAGCUUAUCCAAAGGCAUAAUAUACAUAUGUUCAACUGUCUGAUUGCCUCCAGGCAUGGCCUUCUGGGUUCUACUGAUGCCUUGGACUCCGACUGCUGUGUUUUUUUCAGUUGUAGUUCAUCCAGGAUUUGUCUUAGUUCGCGGUUGAGCUGUCUGUAGACUCAUUAUCGCCCUCUGUAAGAUAUGUGCGUGUGUGCGUGUCGACCGAUGAUCUAGAUUCUAGAUUAAGAAUCAAUAAAAGUUCCGCCUGUGGAGCUGCUUCUCUUAUAUAUAUACUUCUAUAAUUAGACAAUUUUGUGUCAACUUAAUGGAAUAUUUUUUUUACGAAUGCACACCUACAAUAAGUAUGUAUAUGUUUGUGUGUUUCCAGGUCAUCUCUCUCGCUCUACACAAAUCAAAACAUCAUCUGUCGGCUUUCGGACAAGAAGUAAAUCCCAUAAUAGUCCUUCGUCCCUCGCAAUGCCAGAGGCAUGUUUACUCUGGCGUCUUCCCUAUAAUGUCCAAUUCGACGGGAAAUGAUGUGGCUGUCAAGUUAUAUGGAAUGAAAAAAACCACAUGCAUGUAGGAUUCCUGGCCUGAUGACAGGCUUCAGCCUUGAGAAGGAGGAUUCCCCACAGAGGCUGGGUCCUCCCCCCCCCCACUCGUCGUUUUCCGCUCACAGAUUACAAUCGGAAAAUGCGCAUAAGGUUUUACAUUCUGUUCUGCGGCGCUGGCAUUAGUUUGAGAUACGAGUAUGUGGCAGCGGUGACAAAAUAAAAUUAGGAGACGCUCUUAGCCAUAAACAUAAAAAUUGUUCCCAAGAUCCGGAAAGCAGCAAGGAGGAGAGCGCAGCCCCCCUCAGUUGUAGCCAGCAGCGAUUCCUUGGUAUCAUAAUUUCGAAAUGACAGGUAAUUUGGUGGCAACAGCAACAACAGGAAGAGGAUGUGGAAGUGGCAGUGGUGGUGGCGGUGUCAGAAGGGAAAGCAUCGCAUGAAGUGCGAGUGCGAAAUGGGAAAAUGAUGCGGGUUUAUUAAGUAUCGUUACUCAGAGAAGAAACCCUCGCAGAGAAAACCGAAAUCCCGCCCAACAAAUUUAUGAUACGCCGUUUCCCAAGGAACCCACCCAAAAAAAAUGCAGAAAAAUGUAUAUUGUAAAUAUAUGAAGGACUCCAA